Molecule: non-coding RNA, 99 nt
Organism: Hypoxylon sp. NC0597
Lineage: Eukaryota; Fungi; Ascomycota; Sordariomycetes; Xylariales; Hypoxylaceae
Source: the annotation of a GenBank genome assembly
GGUACGGUGCCAGAGUGGUUAAUGGGUGAGACUUGAAUUCAAUAGGAUUCAUGCCAUCUCAUGACUUCGGUCGCUUGGGUUCGAAUCCCAACCGUAUCG